Molecule: ribosomal RNA, 375 nt
Filed under: Pristimantis cf. marmoratus ABGD cluster 259
Lineage: Eukaryota; Metazoa; Chordata; Amphibia; Anura; Strabomantidae
Description: partial large subunit ribosomal RNA
Rfam family: Bacterial large subunit ribosomal RNA
Source: RNAcentral
CAUCGCCUCUUGUAACCAUAAGAGGUCCAGCCUGCCCAGUGAUUUUAUUUAACGGCCGCGGUAUUCUAACCGUGCGAAGGUAGCGCAAUCACUUGUUUUCUAAAUAAAGACCAGUAUGAAAGGCAUCACGAGAACUUAACUGUCUCCUUUCUCCAAUCAGUGAACCUAAUCUCCCCGUGAAGAAGCGGGGAUCCCCCUAUAAGACGAGAAGACCCUGUGGAGCUUAAAAUAUAAUAUCAACUACUGCCCCAAUUACCCUCCCCACUUCCCCAGCGGCACCCUGAUCACAUAUUUUUGGUUGGGGUGACCGCGGAGAAAAACUUACCCUCCGUGAUGAAAAAGAAUUCCCUUAAACAACAAGUUACAACUUUAUGU